This 339-nucleotide unclassified non-coding RNA is filed under the name Hevea brasiliensis (rubber tree). The record is from RNAcentral. Lineage: Eukaryota; Viridiplantae; Streptophyta; Magnoliopsida; Malpighiales; Euphorbiaceae.
UGCAAUUAAAUAGCAAAAAGCAGUGUAAUUAGAGAACCCAGAAGCAGAAACCAUGACUACAAUUGACCCAACUGCAAAUAAACAUUGUCCAAGCCUUAAAAACAAUCCACUCACACUUCCUGGACUACCCACCAGCUCUUUCAUCCUCCUCCUACUCUUCUUCUCCCAAAAAAAGUGAACUUUUAACUGCUAUUAUGCUCCAAAAAGGGCCCUUUUUUUGCAAGAAAACUAAAAGGGCCCUCUUAAGAUCCCUAGAUCUCUGUAUUAUUACCCAUAUCAGCACCCUAACUAACCAAAUUGCUAAGCAUCGAUCUCUGUAACUAUAUCAGAUUAGACGAG